GACGAACGCUGGCGGCGUGCUUAACACAUGCAAGUCGAACGGAAAGGCCCUGCUUUUGUGGGGUGCUCGAGUGGCGAACGGGUGAGUAACACGUGAGUAACCUGCCCUUGACUUUGGUAUAACUUCAGGAAACUGGGGCUAAUACCGGAUAGGAGCUCCUGCUGCAUGGUGGGGGUUGGAAAGUUUCGGCGGUUGGGGAUGGACUCGCGGCUUAUCAGCUUGUUGGUGGGGUAGUGGCUUACCAAGGCUUUGACGGGUAGCCGGCCUGAGAGGGUGACCGGGGACAUUGGGACUGAGAUACGGCGCAGUCUCGUACGGGAGGCAGCAGUGGGGAAUAUUGCACAAUGGGCGGAAGCCUGAUGCAGCAGCGCCGCGUGCGGGAUGACGGCCUUCGGGUUGUAAACCGCUUUCGCCUGUGACGAAGCGUGAGUGACGGUAAUGGGUAAAGAAGCACCGGCUAACUACGUG
Molecule: ribosomal RNA, 468 nt
Filed under: uncultured bacterium
Lineage: Bacteria
Description: partial 16S ribosomal RNA
Rfam family: Bacterial small subunit ribosomal RNA
Source: RNAcentral